RNAcentral lists this unclassified non-coding RNA (323 nucleotides) under uncultured Ascomycota. Its description in RNAcentral is "sequence contains ITS1". The stretch from base 1 to 106 matches the Rfam family "5.8S ribosomal RNA", at positions 50 to 154 of the family's 154-position model. Lineage: Eukaryota; Fungi; Ascomycota. The record is from RNAcentral.
GAAAUGCGAUAAGUAAUGCGAAUUGCAGAAUUUCCGUGAGUCAUCGAAUCUUUGAACGCACAUUGCGCCCUUUGGUAUUCCGAAGGGCAUACCUGUUCGAGCGUCAUUAUCCUUCUCUCCACCCCCCGGGGUGUGGCAUUGGAGCCCAAGUCGGUAUUGAACCAACUGGCUCUCAAAAAUAAUGACGGCGUCCGUGGGACCCUCGAUACACCGAGCCCUUUCGAGAGCACGUGUCGAGUUGCAAGGACCCUCCGGGCCGGUCUGAACCCAAUCUAUUUUCUCAGGUUGACCUCGGAUCAGGUAGGAAUACCCGCUGAACUUAA